UCUUCCUGGACCAGGGAUUGAACCCACGUCCCCUUCAUUGGUAGGUGGAUUCUUAAUCACCGGACCCUAGGAACUUCUUGGUAUUACUGCGAUUUUUUUUUUUUCUGUUAACUUGGUAGUGGUAUUAUGAUGAUUAUUCAAAUAAUGGAUGGAUAGAGUUAUUUUUUGUCUUUAUUAUUAGUCAUGCCUCCUCUACUCAGUUUAUAUGCUGCCAUCUUUCUGCACCACAUGCUGUCCUAGACUUCCAGAACACCAAAUCUUUUCCAGCCCACACAUGCCAGACACCUGCUUAUCUGGAGCCAAGGAUUAGACACAUAUCAAUUAGGACCUGUAUUGUCAAGCUGGAGGGUAACAAACGGUGUCUCCCUAUGUAGUGGUUCACGUGUUCAGGAGCCCUCUAACUCUCCUCCAUUUGGUGAGUGUUAAAUAUCCUGAGGACUGAGCCAGCACAGUGCUGGCUAAAAGACCAAUAAAUAAGGCUAUGGACGUGGGAAAAUGGCAAAACCUUCCCGGGAAAAGCUUCCUGGCCCAAGGUACCAUUAGUAAUGCCGCUAUUUGCAAUCAUAAUAAAAAUAAAACUAAUAGGAAAAUCACGUUGAGACAAUUCCACUGCCUACUGGAUUUUUAAUUUUCUUGAAGAUGCCAGAGGCAAUCUUGAGCCCAUUAUGUCUAAAUGAGGCAUGUUAUAAAAGGCUUGCAAAGUCCAAACUGCUUUUACAGCCAUUAAUUAGCCAGACUUCCAAAUAGGCCCAUAAGAUUAAGCUUGAGUAUGGUCUCUGGUCUCUACAAUGGGGUCACAGUAUGCAGAGAAGUCAGCUAUCAUUGGUUCAGUGUAUACUCUUCUGCCCUUCUCUCUCAUUUAAGCUCGGUUAAGAUCCUUGGGGGUGUAAAAAUAGGGGCGGGGCCGGAAAGGGGCGGGGCCAGUAGGGGCGGGGCCAACACGCAGCCUUUAGCUAGCGACCAUUCUGGCAACCAAAACCAAAACCGUUAGCUCGACCCUUAGUGUGAAGCCCUCAGCUCUCGACUGUUAACCGCUAGUUACCCUUGGAGAAAGAAAUGGCAACCCACUCCAGUAUUCUUGCCUGGAAAUUCCAUGGACGGAGGAACCUGGUAGGCUACAGUCCAUGGGGUCGCAAAGAGUCGGACACGACUGAGCGACUUCACUUUCUUUUCAGAUCCUCGCAGGUGUAAAAAUAGGGGCGGGGCCAGUAGGGGCGGGGCCAGCAUACAGCCGUUAGCUGGCGACGGUUACGGCAACCUAAACCGUCAGCUGGACCUUUAGCGUGAAGCCCUCAACGCUCUACUGUUAGCCGUUAGUUACUCUUAGUGGCCAAGCUCCCAACCUGGCAGUGAUCCUCACGGCACAGAGCGUGGUGAGAGGUGGAUUGGGGCCGUCUCCCCCAGGACUUCCGGCCUCGGACAGCAGGGUGUCUUCUCUGAACCUCCUCCUCGCCACCUCCAAGACUGAGCAAGGUCAUCACACUCUCUUGUCUCAUCUCCACUUCUUUGAGAACUUUUGUGAAGCUCAAGAUACUGAAUGUGACAUCUGUGUUUGACUUAGUCCUGCAGAUAUAUAACACCCAGAAAGCUCCAACAAAGGGUGAAGACUGGGGGAUGACCACAGCUCAUGAUGAUAAGAAGAUCACUUAAUUUGCUCACUGAAGGGGUGGACCUGGGCUGUCAAUAGGGAGACCCAAAAUCACCCACGUGUCCUUGAGCAUCAUCUCAGGGGAAGAAGAUCUGCAUGUGUCCUGUGUUUGAAGAUUAAAAACUCCUUGGCUCCCAGCUCCCACAGUAAUCCAGUCACCACUGAAUAGAAUGACAUCAAGAUUUUUGAGGCUCAUGGAUGAAAGCAGAGGCCACCCUCAUCACAUCUGUGUGAUCCAACUUGUGCCUAUGGCUGAUGGUCAAACACUGUCUUCUUGAAAUUAUAUCUGUUU
Odocoileus virginianus texanus is the source of this 1940-nucleotide non-coding RNA. The record is from RefSeq and is a predicted model, not a curated record. Lineage: Eukaryota; Metazoa; Chordata; Mammalia; Artiodactyla; Cervidae.